RNAcentral lists this ribosomal RNA (253 nucleotides) under uncultured bacterium. Its description in RNAcentral is "partial 16S ribosomal RNA". It matches the Rfam family "Bacterial small subunit ribosomal RNA", at positions 524 to 776 of the family's 1533-position model. The record is from RNAcentral.
UACGGAGGGGGCGAGCGUUGUUCGGAAUUACUGGGCGUAAAGGGCUCGUAGGCGGCCAGCUAAGUCAGACGUGAAAUCCCUCGGCUUAACCGGGGAACUGCGUCUGAUACUGGAUGGCUUGAGUCCGGGAGAGGGAUGCGGAAUUCCAGGUGUAGCGGUGAAAUGCGUAGAUAUCUGGAGGAACACCGGUGGCGAAGGCGGCACCCUGGACCGGCAGUGACGCUGAGGAGCGAAAGCCAGGGGAGCAAACGGG